UGGCGCACGGGUGCGUAACGCGUGGGAAUCUGCCCUUGGGUUCGGAAUAACAGUUGGAAACGACUGCUAAUACCGGAUGAUGACGUAAGUCCAAAGAUUUAUCGCCCAGGGAUGAGCCCGCGUAGGAUUAGCUAGUUGGUGGGGUAAAGGCCUACCAAGGCGACGAUCCUUAGCUGGUCUGAGAGGAUGAUCAGCCACACUGGGACUGAGACACGGCCCAGACUCCUACGGGAGGCAGCAGUAGGGAAUAUUGGACAAUGGGCGCAAGCCUGAUCCAGCAAUGCCGCGUGAGUGAUGAAGGCCUUAGGGUUGUAAAGCUCUUUUACCAGAGAUGAUAAUGACAGUAUCUGGGGAAUAAGCCCCGGCUAACUCCGUGCCAGCAGCCGCGGUAAUACGGAGGGGGCUAGCGUUGUUCGGAAUUACUGGGCGUAAAGCGCACGUAGGCGGCGAUUUAAGUCAGAGGUGAAAGCCCGGGGCUCAACCCCGGAACUGCCUUUGAGACUGGAUUGCUUGAAUCCGGGAGAGGUGAGUGGAAUUCCGAGUGUAGAGGUGAAAUUCGUAGAUAUUCGGAAGAACACCAGUGGCGAAGGCGGCUCACUGG
Molecule: ribosomal RNA, 601 nt
Filed under: Sphingobium abikonense
Lineage: Bacteria; Pseudomonadati; Pseudomonadota; Alphaproteobacteria; Sphingomonadales; Sphingobiaceae
Description: bacterial SSU rRNA
Rfam family: Bacterial small subunit ribosomal RNA
Source: RNAcentral